Molecule: ribosomal RNA, 378 nt
Filed under: uncultured bacterium
Lineage: Bacteria
Description: bacterial SSU rRNA
Rfam family: Bacterial small subunit ribosomal RNA
Source: RNAcentral
AGCGAACGCUGGCGGCGUGCCUAACACAUGCAAGUCGAACGGGAAUAGAUUCGUCUUAGUACCGUGGCGAACGGGUGAGUAACGCGUGGGUAAUCUGGCCUUUUGGUGGGGGAGUAACCAUUCGAAAGGAUGGCUAAAAACUGCAUAAGACCCAAUAAUCGGGAGAUUUAUGGGUGAAAGGGUGCUUAGGCACCUGCCGAAGGAUGAGCCCGCGUCCCAUUAGCUAGUUGGUGGGGUAAUGGGCCUACCAAAGGCUGAGAUGGGUAGCUGGUCUGAGAGGAUGAUCAGCCACACUGGGACUGAGACACGGCCCAGACUCCUACGGGAGCAGCAGUGGGGAAUAGUUGCGCAAUGGGGGGAAACCCUGACGCAGCAACG